This 253-nucleotide ribosomal RNA is filed under the name uncultured bacterium. Its description in RNAcentral is "partial 16S ribosomal RNA". It matches the Rfam family "Bacterial small subunit ribosomal RNA", at positions 524 to 776 of the family's 1533-position model. The record is from RNAcentral.
UACGAAGGGGGCUAGCGUUGCUCGGAAUUACUGGGCGUAAAGGGUGCGUAGGCGGGGCUUUAAGUCAGAGGUGAAAUCCUGGAGCUCAACUCCAGAACUGCCUUUGAUACUGAGGAUCUUGAGUUCGGGAGAGGUGAGUGGAACUGCGAGUGUAGAGGUGAAAUUCGUAGAUAUUCGCAAGAACACCGGUGGCGAAGGCGGCUCUCUGGACCUGUCCUGACGCUGAGGCACGAAAGCGUGGGGAGCAAACAGG